This 253-nucleotide ribosomal RNA is filed under the name uncultured bacterium. Its description in RNAcentral is "partial 16S ribosomal RNA". It matches the Rfam family "Bacterial small subunit ribosomal RNA", at positions 524 to 776 of the family's 1533-position model. The record is from RNAcentral.
GACAGAGGGUGCGAACGUUGCUCGGAAUUACUGGGCGUAAAGCGCGUGUAGGCGGGCAUUCAAGUCAGGUGUGAAAUCCCCGGGCUCAACCCGGGAACUGCACUUGAAACUGGGUGCCUUGAGUGCUGGAGAGGGAAGCGGAAUUCCUGGUGUAGAGGUGAAAUUCGUAGAUAUCAGGAGGAACACCGGUGGCGAAGGCGGCUUCCUGGACAGUUACUGACGCUGAGACGCGAAAGCGUGGGGAGCAAACAGG